Molecule: ribosomal RNA, 2915 nt
Filed under: Citrobacter freundii
Lineage: Bacteria; Pseudomonadati; Pseudomonadota; Gammaproteobacteria; Enterobacterales; Enterobacteriaceae
Description: 23S ribosomal RNA
Rfam family: Bacterial large subunit ribosomal RNA
Source: RNAcentral
GGGUUGUGAGGUUAAGCGACUAAGCGUACACGGUGGAUGCCCCGCAGUCAGAGGCGAUGAAGGACGUGCUAAUCUGCGAUAAGCGUCGGUAAGGUGAUAUGAACCGUUAUAACCGGCGAUUUCCGAAUGGGGAAACCCAGUGUGUUUCGACACACUAUCAUUACGUGAAUACAUAGCGUAAUGAAGCGAACCGGGGAACUGAAACAUCUAAGUACCCCGAGGAAAAGAAAUCAACCGAGAUUCCCCAGUAGCGGCGAGCGAACGGGGAGCAGCCCAGAGUCUGAAUCAGCUUGUGUGUUAGUGGAACGGUCUGGAAAGUCCGACGGUACAGGGUGAUAGUCCCGUACACCAAAAUGCACAGGUUGUGAACUCGAAGAGUAGGGCGGGACACGUGGUAUCCUGUCUGAAUAUGGGGGACCAUCCUCCAAGGCUAAAUACUCCUGACUGACCGAUAGUGAACCAGUACCGUGAGGGAAAGGCGAAAAGAACCCCAGCGAGGGGAGUGAAAAAGAACCUGAAACCGUGUACGUACAAGCAGUGGGAGCCUACUUGUUAGGUGACUGCGUACCUUUUGUAUAAUGGGUCAGCGACUUAUAUUCUGUAGCAAGGUUAACCGUAUAGGGGAGCCGAAGGGAAACCGAGUCUUAACUGGGCGUUAAGUUGCAGGGUAUAGACCCGAAACCCGGUGAUCUAGCCAUGGGCAGGUUGAAGGUUGGGUAACACUAACUGGAGGACCGAACCGACUAAUGUUGAAAAAUUAGCGGAUGACUUGUGGCUGGGGUGAAAGGCCAAUCAAACCGGGAGAUAGCUGGUUCUCCCCGAAAGCUAUUUAGGUAGCGCCUCGUGAAUUCAUCUUCGGGGGUAGAGCACUGUUUCGGCUAGGGGUCAUCCCGACUUACCAACCCGAUGCAAACUGCGAAUACCGAAGAAUGUUAUCACGGGAGACACACGGCGGGUGCUAACGUCCGUCGUGAAGAGGGAAACAACCCAGACCGCCAGCUAAGGUCCCAAAGUCAUGGUUAAGUGGGAAACGAUGUGGGAAGGCACAGACAGCCGGGAUGUUGGCUUAGAAGCAGCCAUCAUUUAAAGAAAGCGUAAUAGCUCACUGGUCGAGUCGGCCUGCGCGGAAGAUGUAACGGGGCUAAACCAUGCACCGAAGCUGCGGCAGCGACACUAUGUGUUGUUGGGUAGGGGAGCGUUCUGUAAGCCGUUGAAGGUGUGCUGUGAGGCAUGCUGGAGGUAUCAGAAGUGCGAAUGCUGACAUAAGUAACGAUAAUGCGGGUGAAAAACCCGCACGCCGGAAGACCAAGGGUUCCUGUCCAACGUUAAUCGGGGCAGGGUGAGUCGACCCCUAAGGCGAGGCCGAAAGGCGUAGUCGAUGGGAAACAGGUUAAUAUUCCUGUACUUGGUGUUACUGCGAAGGGGGGACGGAGAAGGCUAUGUUAGCCGGGCGACGGUUGUCCCGGUUUAAGCAUGUAGGCGGAGGUUCGGUAAAUCCGGUACCUUUUAACGCUGAGGUGUGAUGACGAGGCACUACGGUGCUGAAGUAACAAAUGCCCUGCUUCCGGGAAAAGCCUCUAAGCAUCAGGUAACACGAAAUCGUACCCCAAACCGACACAGGUGGUCAGGUAGAGAAUACCAAGGCGCUUGAGAGAACUCGGGUGAAGGAACUAGGCAAAAUGGUGCCGUAACUUCGGGAGAAGGCACGCUGAUAUGUAGGUGAAGUGAUUUACUCAUGGAGCUGAAAUCAGUCGAAGAUACCAGCUGGCUGCAACUGUUUAUUAAAAACACAGCACUGUGCAAACACGAAAGUGGACGUAUACGGUGUGACGCCUGCCCGGUGCCGGAAGGUUAAUUGAUGGGGUUAUCCGUAAGGAGAAGCUCUUGAUCGAAGCCCCGGUAAACGGCGGCCGUAACUAUAACGGUCCUAAGGUAGCGAAAUUCCUUGUCGGGUAAGUUCCGACCUGCACGAAUGGCGUAAUGAUGGCGGGCUGUCUCCACCCGAGACUCAGUGAAAUUGAACUCGCUGUGAAGAUGCAGUGUACCCGCGGCAAGACGGAAAGACCCCGUGAACCUUUACUAUAGCUUGACACUGAACACUGGUCCUUGAUGUGUAGGAUAGGUGGGAGGCUUUGAAGUGUGGACGCCAGUCUGCAUGGAGCCAUCCUUGAAAUACCACCCUUUAAUGGCUGGUGUUCUAACGUGGACCCGUUACCCGGGUUGCGGACAGUGUCUGGUGGGUAGUUUGACUGGGGCGGUCUCCUCCUAAAGAGUAACGGAGGAGCACGAAGGUUAGCUAAUCUGGUCGGACAUCAGGAGGUUAGUGCAAAGGCAUAAGCUAGCUUGACUGCGAGAGUGACGGCUCGAGCAGGUGCGAAAGCAGGUCUUAGUGAUCCGGUGGUUCUGAAUGGAAGGGCCAUCGCUCAACGGAUAAAAGGUACUCCGGGGAUAACAGGCUGAUACCGCCCAAGAGUUCAUAUCGACGGCGGUGUUUGGCACCUCGAUGUCGGCUCAUCACAUCCGGGGCUGAAGUAGGUCCCAAGGGUAUGGCUGUUCGCCAUUUAAAGUGGUACGCGAGCUGGGUUUAGAACGUCGUGAGACAGUUCGGUCCCUAUCUGCCGUGGGCGCUGGAGAAUUGAGGGGGCUGCUCCUAGUACGAGAGGACCGGAGUGGACGCAUCACUGGUGUUCGGGUUGUCAUGCCAAUGGCAUUGCCCGGUAGCUAAAUGCGGAAGAGAUAAGUGCUGAAAGCAUCUAAGCACGAAACUUGCCCCGAGAUGAGUUCUCCCUGAGACUUUAAGUCUCCUGAAGGAACGUUGAAGACGACGACGUUGAUAGGUCGGGUGUGUAAGUGUAGCGAUACAUUGAGCUAACCGAUACUAAUGAACCGUGAGGCUUAACCUUACAACGCCGAAG